UACGAAGGGGGCUAGCGUUGCUCGGAAUCACUGGGCGUAAAGCGCACGUAGGCGGCUUUUUAAGUCAGGGGUGAAAUCCUGGAGCUCAACUUCAGAACUGCCUUUGAUACUGAGAAGCUUGAGUCCGGGAGAGGUGAGUGGAACUGCGAGUGUAGAGGUGAAAUUCGUAGAUAUUCGCAAGAACACCAGUGGCGAAGGCGGCUCACUGGCCCGGUACUGACGCUGAGGUGCGAAGGCGUGGGGAGCAAACAGG
Molecule: ribosomal RNA, 253 nt
Filed under: uncultured bacterium
Lineage: Bacteria
Description: partial 16S ribosomal RNA
Rfam family: Bacterial small subunit ribosomal RNA
Source: RNAcentral